GUGAGUCAUCGAGUCUUUGAACGCACCUUGCGCUCCUUGGUAUUCCGAGGAGCAUGCCUGUUUGAGUGUCUUGAAGUCAUCAACCCCUCACGUUUUGUGCGGAGAGGAAGGUUGGAUCUGGGGGCCUGCUGCCGUCCAGGUGGCUCCCCUCAAAUGCGUCGGUCGGGCCUGCGGGUCGAACUCGGUUGGGCGUUGGUACCAUCCUCGCUCUAGUCCGAGAUGUUCUUGCUUUGUCGAGCCCUUCCCAGACCGCCUUUUGAGUGGCGUUCAAGUUGUAACUUUGGAAAUCUGACCUCAAUCAGGUAGGACUACCCGCUGAACUUAAGCAUAUCAAUAAGGCGAGG
This 344-nucleotide ribosomal RNA is filed under the name uncultured fungus. RNAcentral's name for it is "eukaryotic LSU rRNA". The stretch from base 1 to 71 matches the Rfam family "5.8S ribosomal RNA", at positions 84 to 154 of the family's 154-position model. The record is from RNAcentral. Lineage: Eukaryota; Fungi.